CGUCGUUAUAUCAAUAUAUGUACUGAAAAAUAAACCAGGUAACCGACCAUUCACCACGGAACCCUGUUCUCCACCAUUACUUUUCAAAUAUGGUCGCAUUUCCCCUUUUAGAUAGUUUGAAUUUAGUAUAAUUUGAAAAUAUUCCACUGAUUUAUUCCUAUAGAAAUACUGAAUAGGUCGCAUGUUCGGGUAGACUUUUCUUGUUCCGAAUGCUAUAGCUAGAUUAUAUAAUCGGUAUGUAUCCACAUGAGACAAAACUGAAAAUAAAAAAAUGUUUUGCUGAAAUUGGAUUACUGAAAUAAUAGUUUGCAAAACGAUCAACUAACAAAUUGUACCCGAUACUUUUUUUCUUCAAAUCAUUUCAUUUGAGAUAAUAAUGAACAGUUUUUAAUACAGAAUUGUCCUAAAACCUUUUUUUUUUUUUACAUUCUUGAUGAAAAUUUUACCAGUUAGAGGAGAUAAGUAUUUAUGUUUGCUUUUUUUAAUAACAAAUACGCACGAUCUCAUUACUAAAAAAAAGCCCGAACUUUUGUUUAUUUGUGUUUUUAUUAUUAAAAGAAUAGUUCCAAUUCCGUGUUAUUACUAUAUCGAAUUUUUUUCUUUUCGUAUUUAGUCUUUUUAUUCGUUUGUUGUCGGUUGUCUUUGCUUUUAAUUAUUUUCAAUACAGCGUAGAAUUACUUACACGUUUUAAAACUGAUCACAUGGCUAUGCGAUACAGUAGUCGUAACAAAAAAUCUUCCAUUCAUCCGCUGCUGUCGACAUGCACACAAAACCUUACAUUGAACUGAUGAUGCAGAUGGCAACUCAAAAGGAAACGGCUUGUUUAGACACCGACCACUGACAUUGUAACAGCGGAGCUGAUUCUUUACUUUGACAAAGACGAUAAAAUGUUUUUCAUCUGUAAAGAUAGUAUUAACAUCUAACCUGUAAAGCGACGGUGGUUGGCGAUGGACAGUUAAUGGCAAUGUACCCUAAAAUCAAACAAAAUAUAUAUGGUUAUUCUCAUUAACAAAUCAACAUAGAAAUGUCUCUCAAUUGGUAAUUUAUAAUCAACAUGACACCCUACGUUUUCGUCCACUUCUGUUCUACUGCAUGAAGGAGCUCUUUAUUUUCUAUAUUAUGAUUUUUUGUCAAUUUGUUUUUUUCAUGUGUAAAUUUUUUACUUCAAUAAUGAUUUUUUUUUUCAUUCGUUCAAAUGAUAACAUUCUUCAUAAAGACUUGUCAGAUUUUUUUCAGAGGAAAUUACCCCUACUUAUUUCAUAUUCUCAAUACUGGUUGUCCCACUUGCAAAAUCUACCUACUUUAUUAUUGUUAGUUAAAUUGUUUUCGUCUUAGUGCAUUAAAUUAUUGCAACUGGGCUAGCUAUCUUUGAGCAAGCAACAAUGAACAAAUCAUCAAUCAGUCAUAUUAGUCCGGCGGCUACAAGCAUAAUUUAGACGAAUUGUGCACAUCCUGCUACAAUCAUGAAAUUUUGCAAAGACCUUCCUCAACUUAUUACUCUUUUAUUUCAGAUAGGGAGGCAUUUGAAAAAAAAUGUCUCACUUCCGGUAAAAUCCAAGAUGGCGGACAUCAUACUUGAAUCAGCCUAAUAUCGAAGGCUAGUAUGUGAAAAAGGUGUUAUUAGCAGGCUACUAGCAUAAUAUUUGGUACAAAACUUUGUUAUGUACUACUUUUGGAUAUAUUAUAUAGAUUAGAUGUCUUCAAAAACCCUACUUCCGGUAAAAUCCAACAUGGCGGACAUUAUACUUAAAUAAGCUUAUUUUUUUAGGGAGGGUAAUUGAAAUGUGUUUUAACAUAUUGCUACAUUGUGCAGGAACCUUUCUAUGGUGCUUCUGAUAGAUACAAUGUAUAAGACAUAUGUCUUAAAAACCCUUACUUCCGGUUAUAUCCAAAAUGGCGGACAUAGAACUAUCAAUGUAUUAUUCAAAUAUUCAACUUUUUUCAAAAUGUAAAGAAAUUUUAGUUUUUUGUGCUGGUCAUUAAAUUUUUGGCUUUAAAUUAUAUCACUAAAACCGCUAAUUCUAUCAUGUUGUAAAUGUUUAAAUACAAAGUUGACACUUACGGUAAAAAUAUGGCGUAAAUUUCAAAAGAUAUGUUCUUUACGUCGUAACUACAAUCCCCUUCCCUUUCAUGAAUGUGACCUACCGAAUUAGACUAUUUACCGGAUUUGUAAUCACAUAAGCAACACGACGGGUGCCACAUAUGGAGCAGGAUCUGCUUACCCUUCCGGAGCACCUGAGUUCACCCCUAGUUUUUGGUGGGGUUCGUGUUGUUUAUUCUUUAGUUUUUUAUGUUGUGUCAUGUGUACUAUUGUUUUUCUGUUUGUCUUUUUCAUUUUUAGCCAUGGCGUUGUCAGUUUGUUUUAGAUUUAUGAGUUUGACUGUCCCUUUGGUAUCUUUCGUUCCUCUUUUCAAAGAUGAGUCCACAAUCCAUUUCUUCGAUGUAGAGUUUUGGAUAGAUUGAUUAAAAAAAAUCACUAUAGUACUAAAACAUUUUUAAAAUUACUACUAUUUGGCCAGAAAUACAUGUUUAUUCACAGUCACCACUACAUGCAUACAAGACAGUGCACGGGAGACCCGAUUUUCCACAUUAACAAUGACCUCGGCAUCCUUUCUUACAUCCACCAUGUACAAGCUUCUGACAAAAUGAUGAGGCCUCAGAAAGAGUUUUUUUUUAAAGGGAUCAUCUUUGUCAUUUCGCCAUCCAUUAUCGCCUGGACUGGGUAGCAUGAGAGCCAAUCCCAAGCUCGUCCCCUAAACACCUGCAUAAGUAUAUUGCACGUUUUACAUGCUUGAAAAGACUAUAGACCAAGAAAUAAAAGAGUAAUAGUUGAGGAAGGUCUAUGCCAAAUUUUAUGCUUGUAGCAGGAUGUGCACAAUUUUUCACUAAGCUGCCGUACUAUAUGUUUCCCCUUUUGUUAUUUACAUUAAUCAAUCAAUGUGCAGGAAAAAAAAUCCUAAAAUAAAAGCCCAAGCGAUAUAACCCAAAAAGAAUAAACAAUCAACCCGAUAAAAGCACAAACUCUAAAACAAAUACGAUCUAGAUAAACGAGAUUUCAAUUUAACUCUUUCUGAAUUGACAGAUAACAAAACCCUGUAUUUGGCCAUAUUAUUUUCAAUAGCUGUUUUAGAAGUAGGAUACAAGUUCAAUGUCUGCUUAUAAAAUCACCUGGGUUACUGUGGACAACAAAGGCAAGUGUAUGUCUUCUUUAAUUUCUUUCAAAAGCACGUUUGUUUGAAUCUCUUCUUUACCUUUAAAAGACAUCAAUGAAUAAAGUUUGUAUCAUGCAAUCUUUUUUGUUUAUUUUCGUUUUUGUCAAAAUAAAGGCAACAGCAGUAUAUCGUUAUUCAUCAAUCGAUUAAGAGAUUUUACGGUUUUAAAUACAAUUGAAGUAUAAAAAAAAGUUAAACAUCUUGGUCUAACUAAGGAGGGUGCACUUUAAAACGAUGAAGUAUAUUUAAAUUGUUCAAAGCACGACACAAUUAAAUAAUAACAUUAUAUAUCAAAUUCUUACUAGUUGUGUAUUUCAAAUUGGAUAAUAACUUUUUUGCGCAAACUAAAAAUUUAUAUAAAUAGAUAAAAUAGAUUUGAGUAUGUGUGGAGGCUAUUACUUAUCUGAAAAGAAUGUUGAAAAGAUAUUACUUGUUUUUUUACACCAAAAGUUAAACACGAGGCUGAAAACAGACUUACAUUCAAUUUCUUUAUUUCCAUAACAUACCACCGAAUCAUAUUGACCGGUACUAGAAAUGAUUGUUUUGAGUCCGUAUACAUACAGAAUGAAGGUUUUUGUUGGAUUAAAACUGCUGUUUAAUGAUAUAGUAAUUUCACCACAAUGAGAGUUGAUAAACAUGUUAGUUGAUGAAAAAUCCGAUGUAUCCACCAAUACGAUAAACACAACAUCAAACAGAAAACAGAUAGGACAGCUUAUUUUCAAAUCAAUUAAAUGCUGAGCCUUGUCUUCCAGCUUAACAGACCAACACCAUGAUGGAAUCUAGAAAAUAUAAAUACGCUGAUUGAUAUUAAAGUCGUAUAAAUACGCUGAUAAAACAGAGAUUGUUUUACAUUGUUGAUUUGCUAAGUUAUUUACUAUAAACAGGUGUUCAUGGACCUCUGUUUUAGCUGAUUUUUCUUUAACAAAAUAUAAUGAAAUGAACUGCCAUUGAACUUUUUUCUUCUUAUCUGGAAUUCGCCAAUAGCUUUUCCAAAUGCAGUGAACCUAACCACAAAACCUCUUAUUUUAACUUCGACAACGACACAGCACAUAUGUGAGUGAAAAGCCGCGACGAUAUAAAAGGUACACAAAUGUGCUAUAACAUGUUUAAUUUCACUUUACAUGUAACACGGAGUUCUAAGACAUUAUAUAAAUUUUGAUAUGAGAGUACAAUUAUGACCACAUCAAAUGGAAAGUAUGCAUACCUCGUUGGAAAAUAUGCAUGUAUCAUAUUAUAUUAUAUAAGUUUUUCUUGCAUGGAAAGGGGGUGGAUGGAAGUUUCGUAUUCUCCGUAUAGUAGUCUACAAGGGUAGCUUUUGCAGUUCUAUCUAUAAUUUGUUUUGGAUGAAAUGGCCGUCGCUUUCAGGAGCUUUGACAAGUUGUAAACUAUAGUUUCGUCUGACUGAGAAGAGAGCAUCUUCGUACGUUCUGCAUUGCUUAGUAAUAAAGAUUUACCCAAACUAGUAGACAUGUUUAGAUUUUUAAUCUAAGAAGCCGUAAAACUUACACACGUAAAUCAAGAUUUUUUGUUUAUUGAAAGCUGUAUAUUAUUACAAUAUUUAGGGAAGUGAAAAAAGAGUGAGAAUCGCGGUUCAUAUUAAAUUAUAAAAGUUCAACAGAUACUUUAAAAUAUUUUUAUAUAAGCAAUAGCAUAUCUUAAUAAUAUAAGUCUAAACUAUUUUAUUUGUCCCAUUUUAAACCGUUUAGCCACUCUGAUAGACGAUAAGAAAUCAGUAAUGAUAAUCACGGUGGUAUGUCCUGCGAGAACUGUGCUGGUGAUUUGGUCCUGACGGGUGCUGGUGGGUCCUGAUUCUGUGCUGGUGGGUUUGUUUACAUUGUAUCAGAACGGCAAUAAAACGACUGUUUUGUUGCUUAAUUUUUCUCUGAUGCGUCAUAAGUACCAUGCAAAGUAUAUUUCAACAAUAUAAAAUUGCAAAAGUCGUGCAAGUUCGUUAAACGGAAUUGUCCUGACGAUGUGCUGGUGAUAAGAAAAACGGUCCUGGUUCUGUGCUCCUAUGUCCUGGUUCUGUGCCUUUAUAUUUUAGUUAAAAGUGGCAAAUAUUCAAGAUCAUUGAUGCUGUACUGUUAUUGACUACUAGUAAUUAACUGUUGUCUGCUUUCUUGAAAUUGACAUUGUUAUGAAUCUGUUUACUGUUAUUAUGAGAGAAAAAAAAACCCUAUUUUUUAUUCUUUUUAAAAUUAACUGUGAUUUUAUUUAUUGGCCUGUUAAUGGAACCCUUCUUGCCCCCUUUUAAGAUAAGAAAAUAUGUUUACGAUUUUCGGGAUUACGAUCAUUUUGCAAGAUCGCCAAAAUACGUUGUAAUUUAUACAAUACUUAUAUAAAGUAGAUGAUGUUGUAUGUUUGUUGUCAAUGGACAAAUUUCCAUAAGAAACCAAAGAAAGUAUGUGUUAACAACCAUACGUCAUUGUACGACCUUCAACAAUAACCCAUAAAAUAAAAAUGUAAAAGGUUUUGUAUAAAAAUGGAGAGCAAAAAUAUAGAAGAAAGGACUUUCUGAGCGUUUGAAUCAUAUGUCUUUAGCAGCUUAAAACACAUUUGUUUGUGAAAAAUUGAGUGCUGACUAUAAGAAUGACAAUAGUAUUGCGGGUUUGUUUGUUUGGUUUUUUUUGGGGGGAUGGGGGGGGGGAUAAGUUAGAGCGAGGUUACAGUGAAAGUGUUAAGCUUGGAAUAGUUUCCCGUAAGAUUUAAAAGUUGUAUUUUAAAAGAAAAAUGUAUCUUACAGCUAUUAAGAAUCACUUGCUGUAUCUGUAAGAUUUUUUCAACAUAUUUUUUUUUGUCUGAACGGUUAUCAGGUAUUUUUUUUCGAAAGUUCGAUAGAACACUAAAAAAAUCACUAUUUUAUGAAAGGGCAGACUAGAAUAUGUCAGAGAAUAUGUCAGAGAAUGAAGACGAGAUAACCUAGAGAACAUUAACAAAACUAAGAUUUCUUAGCUUUUUCAUUUCAAAAUUCCAAAAUAAAUAAAUAUUUUUGAUAAAGAAUUACAGGGGAGGAAGUGAACAAUGUGUCCUACUUUUCUAUAUUUAAAUAUUUUUAUGAAUAAAAAUCAAAUGUGCCUUAAUUAUGAUUGAAAAUGAGUAAAUGGAAAAACUACCAAACUAAAAUACACUUUUUAUUUUAAUAUUGGUAAUAUCACUAAGCUUUUAAGUUUUGUGUGUCAAACACACCAUCUCUGUAGUAAUGACUCCUUAUUAAGAUAUUUCACAUCUCCAUUUUUUUUCUGCAUUUUUUAUAUUUGUGAAUUCUUAGUAUUAUUAUAUUAAAAUGUAGACUUAAUUUAUAUUUAAAAAAAACUGAAUCUAAAGCCAGAUAAAUCAAACAUUUUUGUUUCUAUCUAUCCGUUUUCAGGACUUUAACAAUCAACGUAAACACGCCUGGAAAGUAAAAUGCGUACUCGGCUGUCUGUAAUCGACCAUUUUUAGACACCCUCCUAAAAAACAAGCCGGGGUGGGGUUCAGAGAUGCAAAUUAAGUACUUAGAUCAAUAUUUUAUAUUUUCGUGUAUGGUUUAUCACCCCCUCCUGUGGCCUGUCAAUUACGAAAAUGUGCAAACUGCAAUAGUAUCAAAACAGCACAGACAAUGAAUAAUAGAGAUAUAAUUUUGUACAUAUACAUGUAUCAAGGGAUAAUAGAGAUAUAAUUUUGUACAUAUACAUGUAUCAAGGGGAAACUUCUUGCAAAGCAUUAUUAUUUAUAGUUCAUUAUUGUAUUUAGUAGAAAAAGAGAAUUUGGUGAAAAUAAAAUCACUAUUUUUGUAGAAAAUUCACAGACCUUUGUACAGAGAAUUUUUGUUAUGUUUAGCAUGGGAUCAACACAAGGGUACAUUAUCCUUAAAAAUCUAUUUAAAAGUAUUUGAAACUAACGUUUGCUUUGUUAAUUGUGCCUUCAAUUUCAAAAAUUAAAAUAUCUCGUAACUUCAUACUACCAAUUGAGUAUAAAACAAGUAAAUAAGUUUAAAAAAGAAAUUCUUAGAUUAAACACCUAGAUUUAACUUUAAAAAGUCAUAACAGUUUAAAACAAUACAAAUCUACACACACAAAUAACUGGCUUAAUUUCAACUGAUUUUCAACCCGAAUCGCUAUAAGAUCAUAUAUAAGCUCAACUGUGUCGAGGGAUCGUGUGAGGUUCAUUUAUUGUCUUGGCGUCCGUAUUACAAUGACCAAAUGUUACCAAAUGAUUUUUUCAAGAGUGAAUCUAGGAAAAACAAUAUUCAUCAACAAACCAGACCACUGUCUGUUAAAAUGUAUUCGAGUUUUUAGUUACAGCCGAUUCCAUUGAGUAUGUAGGCAAAUGUUAUAUCUUUGGUUAGCUUGCUUGUUAGCUAAACCGUGAAGUCAUUGUUAGGUAAGGUCUAUACCCUCCUUUCGAAUUAGCCUGGUCCUACAGACAGAAAGAUGUGUCAUUUGUCGGACUAGUCUACUCUUAAAGUAGGGUAGUUUACAUAACCUAACAAUGACUUUUCUGUUCAGCAAGCAAGAUAACCAAAGAUAUUCCCUUUGUCUACACACUCAUUGAAAUCGGCUUUAAUAUUGCAAAUGUUCAAGCAAUUAGGGCAAAACUUACCGAGUAAAAAAAAUCAAAAUGUCUAUCUACCUUGCACAUUUCAGAAAAUUCAGAUCAGAUAACGAAACUGGGUCCAGCAACAUUUAUAAGCAAUUUAAGAUUUUGACCCUCACAGUUUCCAUUCACCACAAAUAUUCUCGUUACAACGAAUCAAAUACCAGUUGCAGCCUUUUGUUUAUCUAUUAAUAUAUGUAUACGGAUAAAGUUAUGAAAGGCAGCAGGGUCACCAGGGUGAGGAGUCCAUGUCAUCUGAAAUAAAUGCUAAGCAUAGAUCUAGAAAGCGGCAGAUAAUCAUGGCAUUAAAAAAAACUCUCUUCUUUUCGACUUUUUUCGAACAAAUUGACACAUAAAAUGAAUUAUAUAGUAUUUUGGAAUUUUUAACUUGUGUUCAAUUCAUUGGUUACACCUUUUACUAGGAUAACAGUCCUGUCAAGUAUGAGCUGGGUAAAAUAUUUUCAGAAAAGAAGAUGGAAAUGUGAAAGUUUCCGUGCGUCAGGUGCAACAGCAUACGAACAGCUAACAUGUCUCGUCAGGGUGGAAGCUAAAAAGUCCACGAAAAUUUGAUUUAAAACCUUUAUUCGUUCCAACAAAGAUAUUGUGAUUUUGUUGAGGAUUUAACCAUCUACGACAACAAAAUUUCUUUUUUUUUUAGAAUUUACAGCUCUUCUAUAAAUAUAUGCAAAGCAAACCAUUGAUUAAAUUGCUUGCUAUGAUUGUUUGGAUGUUUGUAAACGACAGGUAAGUAGUCUGUUUACUAUAUACUACAAUUUGUUUGGAAAAUAAACAUUAACUUCAAUUCCUGUCAGUUUGUAUUUGUCCAAUCAAAUCCCAGUAUGUAUUGAAACUCCGCCUACCUAUUGUUUGAAAACAUCCAAGCAAACAUAGCAAGCAAGUCAAUCAAAGUUUUUUUUUGCAUGCUUUUAUAGAAGAGCUGUACUAUAUAAUGCAAGGAAGCGUUUAAGUCUUUCGCCAAAAAAUACUAUCAAUUUCUUUUUGUCCUAUGUAAACUUCCGUACCAUUUCCUUCCAUUCAUGAUCAUUAAAUUGAACUGUAAAAUAUUGCUUGGUACCUUCUUAAUUCCUUUAUGAGUCUUAUGUAAACAUAAUUAUGACAAUAACUGUUGUGAGAACAAGAUUCACUGCACACUUUUAAAGUUCUGCUUCAUCAAACAUUAAAAUGUGAACUUAAGUUUUGAGACUUUUUUAAUCUACACGAUUGGAUUUUUGUAUUUGAGAACAUGGUUUAUCUAUUAGUUGAAAAUGUUGCUAAAAUGCUAGCUUGAACUAACUAACUUUCAGUACCUGCAAGCAUUCGUUAUUCAAUAAUGUGUGUCUUUGUGUUAUUAUUUUAUGUAAUAAAUUGUUGUGUUGAUACACCACUGUAACAAUGAAGGAGGAAAUGAGGAGGGUUGGUUGGGUGGAAGUGGGGAGGGGUAUGCGGAGCGCUAACAAACAUGUCUAUGCGGCAUUGGCUUUGAUCAUUGUUGAAGCAUCAAUGUAAGGGGCAUUUAAAAUAUCUUAAUAAAACUAUUCUUAUUUUAGAUACUAUAUAUUGUUAUCUGAUAUUGGACGAAAGAUGUUGCCCUUUUAUGUAAUUAUUUAAUACAAGUUACGAUCAUUUCAAAACACAUAUUAAACAGCCAAAUGGAUGCACAAGAGCUAAAAUAGGAGUCAUAGAUCCUAUUGACAACAAUUAUCUGCCCAAUAUUAUUGAUUUUGUAACAUUUGUUUCAAAUAUGACCAACUUCUUAUCCAAAAUCACCAGCACCGUAUCAGGACCCACCAGCACAAUGACAGGACCCACCAGCACAGUAUCAGGACAUGAAUAAAUUGAGAAAAUGCUAAAUUUUAAUACUAAUUUAAAUUGCAAUGUUUUUUCACAAAAUAGUUUUGUCGCGUGGAUUGCGGUAUAGAAAGCGGACUCUAUGAGCAUUUUUGUUUUAUUUUUUCAGUUCGAGAUUUUCUGAAAAUGAGCAUUUCUGUGUUACGCUUACUGAAAAAGUUUAGAGGGUCAACUUUUUAAUGGUUUACAUAUGAACCCAUAAGAAACAAAAUUGAAAAAUCUCAACCGUUUUCUUCCAUUUUUUAUGAGUGAAAACGUCAAAAAUCAUUGUUUUCGUCUUUGUUUACAUUUUUUCAUUGAUCACCAGCACCCGUCAGGACCAAAUCACCAGCACAGUACGUUCUCUCGCAGGACAACCAUACCCACCGUGAUAAUUAUACCUGCAAAUGGUAGGAAUUACGUAAGAAACAAGAUAAGUUGGAAAAGUGUAUAUUGUCAAAGUGUUCUAAAUCGCAUGACAUUUCACAUGACAUGCACAAAUACAAUAUAAUCUGAUCAUUUUAAAAGAUAAAACAGCAGGAUUAAUAGUUAUAUAUUGUUACCCCAGAUAAAUAUAUACAUUUAAUACAUUAUCGAAGGUUAACUUUGUUUGAUGAAUGUUCAACCUAUGUUUGAUUUAAAUACAGAACUGUUCAGUUGAAAUUUAUUGAAGUAUAUGUAAUUAAACAUGAUACCUGUUAAUCUUUUACCUUAUUAGAUUGGAUAUUCAAGCUGCACAAAUUUGAGUGUAAGUUAAUAAAAAAUAUUUAAAUUCAAACUAAUUUAAUUAAAAUAUUAUAAAUUUGUUUUACAGCAGUAAUUUAACAGUUUAAAAAAAGAAAAAAACAAUGCUCGACUUUCUAAGUGCGCUUCCUAUGCCAUCUUCUCUUCAAACAACUACUUAAACCCUUUUCAGUCCUGAUUAAAAUGUUGGAUUUUUGUAUACUGGUUGUGCACAUCAUUUUACACUACACUUAACGGUAACCUAAAGAUAUCAAGACAGACAAACAUAAAAAGUAGAAUAUUUAUUGUAGCAAUGCUGUAGUAUUCUAUCAUGAUACUUCUUAAAGGGACAGUAUUUUAAACAGUAUCAAUUACCACUUAUAACAGGUGUCUGGUCUUUUCUCUGUGUAACGUUCAAUAAAAACAUUUUAUAAUUUUGUUUUUCUAUCAAACAGUUUUUUUUUUACAAGAAAUCCAGAUUUUACUAGUUUGAUUAUUUCCUUAUUUGAACAUUUUACAUUUAAAAAUUGUAAAAAUUAUCACAAAUUAGUAUUUGCAUUAAUUAUGUAACAUGUAACAAUAUUACUUACUUCUUUUAAAGCAUCCAUUUUUGGAAACAAAAAUGUAUUGAUUAAAUUUCUUGUUGUACACAUACAACAAGAUAUGUGAUAACAAGUUAUUUAAAGUUCCUUGAACGUAUGAAAGUUUUAAAUGUAUGUCACGUGUUUUUAAAAUGUAUAAUCUAAUAUGCACCGAUUAUCAGGAUGAAUUUGCAUAUUGUUCAUGAUGCAAACAAAAGUUUUCUUUGUUUCACAAGAAAACUUGAAGAUGACUUGAUUAGGUUGUAUCAAACUAUUCAUUAUGACGUCGGUUAUAUAUCCGGGGCAAAGUUAUUAAUAAAUGUCAACGUAUUUGACGAUAAAAAUAUCAUGAAUUGCAAAAUCUAAAACUUCACACCACAACCCUACUGAUAUUAAACGAUAUUGAAAUAACAAAUGUUUGAAUUUUUAAGUUAUUAUUUUCAUGAAUAUACCUCAAAUGUAUAUUUCCAAAAUUCAUUUACCGCGAAACUAUUUUGCAUGUGUCUUAACAAAGGCAGAACAUGUAAAAUACGAAGCAGGCCAAUUUACUUUUUUACCAACAGACACUAAUUUAAUUAUGUUUGUUCCAGUUUGUUAAUGUUGUUUGUUUACCAACCACAUCUCUUUGCGGAAUACUAUUCCGUAGACACUUUAUGGUUCCUGGAUUUAAUUCCCAUGAUAAACCUCCUAGAGAUACAAUAUGAAAGUAACAAUACAUAACUUUGAUGCAUCCGAAGUGCUUUUGUGCAAUAUGAUAAUUUUGCAUGUAUUCUCGGAUGAAUGUGAAAAUAUUAAUAAGAAAACAAUCAGAGAAAAAAAGGACUAAACCAAUGAUUACAUUUAAAAAAUCGAGUAAGAAUAAAAAUCAAGCAAAAUCCACAAACUGAGGGAACCGCAUGAACUCCAAAAGGAGCGAGACUGGGUACGUCGAUACUGUGUAUACUCUUAUUUAUUGAUCACACAUUAUGAAAAAUAAUAUAAACGGUACUAAAGUACAAACGGAAACCAAACCUUUUGUAUGAGUUUUAAAUUCGUAGGAAAUAAUGACAAGUAAAUUGGGGAAAAGUAGCAGUACCUUAUUUUUUACAUUUGAAAAUAUUUCUGAUAAUAGAUUUUUUCUUUGAGAAACAGAUGUUUCUUCAAAUAUCACCGCACAAAUGUUCAAGUGUUUCCUACUGAAAAAAGUAAAAUCACAAAAUUACUGAACCCCGAGGAAAAUUCAAUCGGAAAGUCCCUAAUCACAUGGCAAAAUCAAAUGACAUAACACUUCAAACGAAUGUCAUAUUCCUGACUUGGUACAGGCAUUUUCAAAUGUAGAAAAUAGUGGAUUGAACCUGAAUUACAGACGAAUUGACAAAUUGAUUCGUAUCUGCAAGACAACGUUGGACAAGUACACCUCGAUAUAUUGAUUAGUCCUUCGAUGCUCGUAGUGAAAACAUGCGAGGUGAAGACUAAGUAAACAUUCUUGUCAUUCUAUGCGUCAUUAAUUUAUUUUAUUACUAUGCAAACCUGAAUAAGUAUACUUUUCAUGUGAUUUUAUUCUUCUUUCAAGUGAGUGCUUGUGACAACUUGUUAGUUACUAGUAUAUAAACGGAGGAUGAACACAUUUAACGUGUUUUGCAUAUAUAUUAUUUUUGAUAAUGUAUGUGAUGAAAUUACAACCAUAAUUCUCUGCUAGACACACUUACAUAUUUUAAUUUUAAUUCUGUUAAACUGAUGAACUCAAUACUAGUACUUGUUUGCCCAAUUCGUAUUAUUUGAUGUUAAAAAAAAAUCCACAUAUGCAAACUUGAAAAUUAAGUAAUCUCUGACAGUAAUGAAAAUUCUUCAAUCUCUUUAAUAUUAUGGUAUGUUGUCUUGUGCAGUGAACAUUCCUAUUUUCACAUAUUGGGUCUUCAAUGCUCUUCAACUAUAUACUUGUUUGGCUUUUGCACUGAGCGUCACUAAUGAGUAUUAUGCAAAUAAAACGCGCGUCUAACGUAUCAAAUUAUAAGCCUGGUAACUUUGAUAUCUAAUAUUGUAUAUUUAUCAUACCCUAUGGUUAUGGCAAAAAGACUAAAUUCUAAAACACUUCGAAUUUAUAAACAUAUGAGGAAUACACAUUUAUUCCAAGUUCAAUUCAAUACAGGUGUAAUAGAUGCAAUUUAUAGGAUAUUAGUUUGAUCAAAUAGUAAACUUUAUAAAAUACACUUUCUGAUCACAUACUAUAAAUGAAAAAAAACAUAAAGCAAUGAAUCUUAUCCACAUCUUCUUACUUUUAUAUAAAUUAAAUAAUAUCGGAAACCGAUUAAAAGAUAGACAAUAGAGUUUAGCCAGUGACCGUUCGACAAUGAGUAUGAUACGAUGAAUUCUAUAUGGUUUCAUAAUAUUUAUAAUGAAAUAAAAAAUCAAUUUAAUGAAAUGUAUUAAAUCAUAUAAAGACACACGAGUACAUUGAGGAAUUCAUAUUAUUUUUUUAAGAUAUGUAAUUUAAACUUAUACGUAGUAUAUAUUUCAUAAAACGUCAUUAUUGUAUGAACUUAUUUCAGACUUUGAAAAUACAACAUGUUUAGUUAAAAGAAAAUAAGAUAUUGAGUAUAUUCCAUCAAUGACAUUUGUUCUGUUUGAGAAGCUGAAUCGCCAAAUUUUAUUAUUAAAUGCGUAUAUUCAACUUCAUAUAUAUGUAUGAAUGGAUGCUUUAUAUAAAAAAAACCACUUUUGAACAAUCACAUAUGGAAAUUCAAUUACAGCUCUUUUCACAAUGCUAGCAAGACUGUAAUAUUUAAUUUGUUACAUGCCCAUAACUUAAGCAAACCGAUUGACAGCCAUCCAAGCGUACGCACAACCUAAGCAUGCAGAAGAUAAUAAAAGAAAAUUAUAUGACUAUUUUAAGUUACAGAUGUUACAAUCAGGGUUUUUAGGAGUACCAGAAGGCUUAGCAAACCCUUUCCCAAUAGUUGGUGUUUCUUCUAUAUAUCCAUACUUCAACUCUAAAGCUCUUUUCACAUUAAUGAUUUCAGUAUAAAACACUUCAACAGUGACAUCCAUAUUUGCAAAAACAGUGAAUGCACCAUUACAUUCUACUCGUAAACACAAAUAUGGAUUAUGAAAAAUGUUUAAUUCUUUCAAAUACUGUCGACAAAAGUUGUUACAAGCUGAUGUUUUUGGCACCAGAAUGAUUGUCACAUGAUGACGUUUAUAAUGACAGUAAAAGUCGGCAAAAUACAAAUUACACUGAGGAUUGAACAUUAUCAAAGAUUUGAGAUACAAUCUGAUUGGUCCAUAGUAAGAGCAGGGACUUGGGUUGUUCGUCGUUGUAUCAAUAUAUGAACUGAAAAAUAAACCAGAUAACCGUCCAUUAACAACCGAACCCUGUUCUCCACCAUUGCUUUUCAGAUAUGGAAGCAUUACUCCAUUUAUAUAUUUCAUGAUUACAUGAAAAUACUCCACUGAUUUAUUCCUAUAAAAGAAUUGGAUAGGUCGCAUACUAGGAAUACAUUUCCUUGUCCCAAAAGCUAUAGCUUGAUUAUAUAAUCGAU
This 14436-nucleotide long non-coding RNA is filed under the name Mytilus galloprovincialis (Mediterranean mussel). The record is from RNAcentral. Lineage: Eukaryota; Metazoa; Mollusca; Bivalvia; Mytilida; Mytilidae.